AGCAGAGUGGCUUAGUUGAAAAAAGCAUGGUCCUGGAAGUCAGAGGACCUGGGUUCUAAUCCCAGAUCUGCCA
Molecule: transfer RNA, 73 nt
Filed under: Ornithorhynchus anatinus (platypus)
Lineage: Eukaryota; Metazoa; Chordata; Mammalia; Monotremata; Ornithorhynchidae
Rfam family: tRNA
About the family: Transfer RNA (tRNA) molecules are approximately 80 nucleotides in length. Their secondary structure includes four short double-helical elements and three loops (D, anti-codon, and T loops). Further hydrogen bonds mediate the characteristic L-shaped molecular structure. tRNAs have two regions of fundamental functional importance: the anti-codon, which is responsible for specific mRNA codon recognition, and the 3' end, to which the tRNAs corresponding amino acid is attached (by aminoacyl-tRNA synthetases). tRNAs cope with the degeneracy of the genetic code in two manners: having more than one tRNA (with a specific anti-codon) for a particular amino acid; and 'wobble' base-pairing, i.e. permitting non-standard base-pairing at the 3rd anti-codon position.
Source: Rfam by way of RNAcentral